UGCGGGGUGGAGCAGAGGCAGCUCGCCAGGCUCAUAACCUGGAGGUCGGGGGUUCGAAUCCCCCCCCCGCUA
This 72-nucleotide transfer RNA is filed under the name Chloroflexota bacterium. RNAcentral's name for it is "Chloroflexi bacterium tRNA-Met". It matches the Rfam family "tRNA". From Rfam's summary of the family: Transfer RNA (tRNA) molecules are approximately 80 nucleotides in length. RNAcentral also lists the same sequence under 1 other name. The record is from RNAcentral. Lineage: Bacteria; Bacillati; Chloroflexota.